Molecule: non-coding RNA, 468 nt
Organism: Danio rerio (zebrafish)
Lineage: Eukaryota; Metazoa; Chordata; Actinopteri; Cypriniformes; Danionidae
Source: Ensembl
ACAUCGCAGUGUCUGGUAAGAAACAGCACAGCUUUUAUUUGCUCCCUUGGUGAGCCAUCGCUCGACAGACUGGACCAGCUCAAAUGGCUUUUCGUGGUCCUGCGACUGAUCAAAUGGGAAGGAUGAAGAUCCAAACCAUCGUCCGUCUGACGUGCCUUCUGCUUUUAGUGGUUCAAUUAGCUUCAAUUACUAAAGGACAAACACCCAUUGUACUUCCCAAAACUUUGACCUCAGAGAGUGGGAAAACUGUCAUCUUUGAAUGUGGCUACAGUGGACUAAACAAUGAAAAAAUCUUGUUUUACAUGAUGGAUUCAAAGCUUAAUGCAUCCGUGUCUUGCCCAGGAGACAAAACCAAAUACAUACCAGAAGAGUCAAUGAGAGCCUACUGUACGGCCCGAACAGUUGGAGUGAUAGCUACUUGGGAGCUUGCAGGAAUAACAAAAGAUGACAACGGCACAGUUUUUUUGU